UUCGUCGAGAACGAACGGAGCGUAGAAAAUAUCGCGUUGCCGGCGUAAUAACCCUGCUGUCGAGUAGAUUGCAGUUUUCGAUUACGCGGGACCGAUACUCGUAGAUAAUCGAACCAUCGCGUCCCUUGCUACCUGAACCGAACACACACGUAAUAUUCAUCGACAUACAUACCUCCAUUGUUCCAUAGGGAUUUUCAGGUCUCGUAGAAAGAAUCGGCAUUGACCUCGAUGGCGACAGAGCCGAACGAACGAGUCGCCAGCGGAUAAUUGGCAGCUGCGUUAUUAACACUUUGAUGGCUGGUGUCACGUGUUCGUGACAUUGACAUGUGACUUUUCACAGCCAGCAUUCUGUGCUACGCGAUGGAUACUAAUUUGGAAAUCAGUGAUUUGGGUAUAUUUAGUACAGGGGUGUGGGUGACCGAUAAUUGGGUCGAUUCCGCAUUGUUCGGCUCGGAUCGGGACAACUUUGCAGCGGCCUUUUUCCAGAGUUACAAUCAAGGUUUUCGAUCAGCAACUUGACAAUGCGAGCUUAUAUCAUAGGGAAUCUGGAACGACAGCUUCGAUCAAAGUGAUUUUUCUAAGUGCAACGUUUCUCACUGUACUUGUCGCUGAUUCCCUCGAGUUGUUACGCAAACGCGAAUCGAUAGGAUGCAUUAACUCGAGCUCGAGAGAAAUGAAAUUGUAAUGGCGAGGCAUUGCGUGCGACCUACUUCCUCCGACGUUUAUUGAAUGGUGGUAUCGUUAUUCUUUUUUCUUCCCCCUGUUGUUCAACGCGAGAAGUAUAUUUUCGAUUACGGUGGAACGAAGUUUGAAAGGUAUUUAGAGCACGGUUCCUAUGAAAGCGAUGCUUCCCUCCAUUUUUUCUCGGUCACAGAAUGGAAACCGAUACAAACAAAUUAUACUUCCUCGGUUGUCCGGUCAGUUUGUUGGAAACUUCCAAGAGAAAUAAAGAAAUCGAUUGGUAAAACAAUACGAUUCUUAAUACGAGGACUCUAAUGGAACGUUUCACUUGUGCACAUUCAUGCAUAUUAUCCUUAUUCAUUUCAUUUAGAAAAUUUUCCAAAAAUUAUUACAAGAUCAAUACCAAGGAAAUAUUCUUGGCUUAAUAAAGCUAUCGUAAGAAAAGUAUUAGAAAUGAAUGGUUAUGUAUGUACACUUAUAAUUAAAUCAGACUGCCAGGAUUUUAUUGCGAUUGUACAAGACUCCAUUUUUCCAGAGCUAAGUCCAUCGCUCUGAAGUAAUUAAAUCUCGAGAAUUGCAUUUACAUAUGUUAGAUCAUAACAGUGAAGCCACGUCGUAAACAAUUUCUAAUGAUUUGUCAGAGAAGAAAAACAAGUCAUUAAAGUCCGACGUUGUUAAUAGAAUUUGUUGAUAAAUUCGUCCUUGGUUUGUGGUGUCAGAAUUCGUGAUCAAUUGCGCAUCGAGUUAUUCCAUUUUGAUUGGAGCUAUACCAAGAAAAUUUCUCUUCCUACUGUAACAAACGACCUCUACUAGAAGGCGACCAGUUAAACCCGUGAAUCUUUUCUUCCACCCCCGUAUCUAAAAUCGACCCAAGCAGACAGACAGACUGGCGCCCUACUUCCAAUCGAAACGAUCAGACUACGCUCUCCUAAUCGAUCUUCAUUCCGUAGCAAUUAACGGGGAAAUUAGGAUUAAUUACGGGCCAUUAACGGGACCAGGCAAAGUUAUCUUUCGACAAUGACGCAUUAACUUUUCGUCUCGGAAAUGUAUAUUUUUACUGGUGUACAACGAGUCGUGUGUUUGCGUUGCAAGGAGAGAAAUGGAGGACUUGGAGAAUAUCGAUUAACUCGGUAUUUAUGUCACAAGCUUGUGACAGUUGACAGUGCCACGCUCCGGUUAAAAUAACGAUGCGAAUAAAGAAAACUGAUUUCCUGGGCCUUCUUGCAUAAUUCGACUGACGUUAUUAGCGAAAUUUCACGAUUCACCGGUACUAACGUAUUUUUAAUUAGACAAGUAAAGUUCUACAAGUAGAUUUUCAUCAAAACUACCCUUAUAUUGUUGGAUAACACAACCACUUUAUCUCAAAAUAUUGGCAUAUUUCCAAACUUUCAUUAGGAAAUUAUAUAGUAAUAGAAGAAAUAUUUUGUCUUAGGUUAUCGUUGUACUUUAAAAAUACAAAUAUCUAAAAUUUAUGUUUUGCAAGCACAUGUACCUUGUUUCUAGUUGGAAUGAUACAGCGUUCUGUGGUACAAUUAUAGAAAUAAUUUAUUUAAACGAGCUUAAGAAAACAUGUGUAAAAAACUAGUGUUUUCUGUUCGCCUUUCUUACACAACAGUUAUGUAAGACGUAGACGACAAUGAAUCGUGUUAGCGGGACGUUAAAACGUAAGAAUUCCUUGCGUCGCCAUGAACCCGCCCGUCAUUUCGCUCUACUUUCCCUGAAAAUUCGUUUUCGUGCCACUUGGCAAUUCGCCGGGUUCACCUCGUGAUUUGCACGAUCCCCGGCCUUUAGCUCGACUUCCGACUCGACGAAAACAAUGCACUCGUUUUACUUCCCUUUUUUUUUCUUUUUUCUUUUCGGACCACGUCGACCGCACGGUCAAAAAUGUUAGUGGAGCUGAAAACCUACACCAAACGACGAGGUUUCCAAUAGAGCGACUCGUUGCUCUAGGAUAUCAAUUCACGUUUCGCUAGAUCAUGCGAGUUGAGAAAUAUCGGACAUCGAUAGGGAAAAAAGCUUAAUUUUGUUUACUAUUCGAAUUAUAACGCUAUAUGUGUGAACUCUUUUGCUACGAGUGGUGAACCGAUCACUCCCUUAUUAUUUGAAGAUUCUAAGAUUCAAAAAGUAAAAAAUAUUGAAAUUUUAAUAUUCUAAUAUUCCAAAGUUUUAGGUGCUAAAAUUCUGUGAACCUGGCCCACCCCCAAAAAGGUCUUAGUUACGCCCGUGUGCGAUGGGUAUAUGCAGUAAUUGAAAUUUUAAUUUGGUUUCCCGUGAGAAAUUAUCCAGGAAAAUUGCCUCGGAACCAAUGAAAUUGUAACCAUCAUCCAACAAUAACUCUUCCAUACACAAUGAACAAUUUACGUCGCAGCCAAAAAAGGGUAAUUACACAAUAAAAAAGAGACGAACAUAAAUUCGUAAUUUUCUAAUCAACAAUCAUAUCAAGACACCCUAGUUACAUCAAACUACCCUUGUUGCAUCAUUCCAGUCACCGUAAUGAUUACUUUAAUUGAAACGGUAAUUUCAACGUGCAACGUCAGCCUUAUACUCUUUACAAACGAACAAAUUUCAAUAGUAGACGUACACAGGUACGUUGCAUAAUUAGAGAGUGAGCAUGAACAAUAGACAAGUGCCUACGAAUAGUCGAAAACUAGAACGAAGCUGAACAACUGGUCCAACGUCGGAUGCACACUAAAGCGCGACACAUUCGGUUGCCUGGUUUGAAAGGAAAGCCUGACUCCAGAAAGGAGAGACGUAAAUCGAUCUAUCCCAGCAGCCUCGUCUUAGAUAUGAACAUCUUUGGACGACAAAAAAAUUCUCGUGUGCAGCUCGGUUAAUCGAUCGGUAAAAAGGAUACGAACAAGAUAUCGAGUAACGAGGAUAUCAAAUGUUCCAUACGUGGUGGUUAGAUUGGCUUCUAGCGACGAUCGAUCGAAUGGAGAAUUCACCAUUUUCUUUUCUUUGCUGAAACUUACCCCCUCGAUUAAUACACCAAACUUCUCUUUUCAUCAUUAACUUUUCAUUUUUCUUUUUUAGUGGUCUAUAAUUUUUUAUUCAAAUAAGAGUUUAACCCUUUUCUGAUUGAAUGAACUCUAAAAUAGCUUAGGGGUGGAUCGUUAAAAAAUAUUAAAAAUAUUUUCUUUUUCUUUUAUAGAAAUUUUCCAAACAUUUUUUUGUGAUUUUAACAUCUGUUAAAUAAAAAUUCAAAGAUCAUUGAGCAAUAGCUUUCUUAAUGGCUUUGAAAAUGAAAAAUUAACUAAUUUCAUGCAACGUACAAAUGUUGAACCGUACAGAAAGAUAAUCGUACAAAUUCAACUCGCGUACCGCUUUAAUGGAUCCGCUAUCUGUCGUAGACACUCCACUUUCGAGUACGCGUGAACGUUUAUCUUGCUCCAAAUUUAAAUCAACUUUUCGUUUAAAUUAACUUCAGAAGCCUCUGUUGCGCUCCAAGCUGCGAUUAAAAUUUGCAGGGAGCUUAAAACGUGAAUCCAGCUUUCUCCGUGAAAGCUGGAAAAGUUUUCAGCGUAUUUUCGUUACAAGAUUAUUAGUGCGCGAAUUAAAUCCCACCUCUUCACAGUCAUCGUGUCUAUUCAGUACUUUUUUACCACGAUUUUGUUUUCCAUUUUUUUUUUCGACUGGUAGAUAAACAGCUUCAAAACGCAAGUAUUUGGUAACAGAAAACACUUUUGAAACCGAAGUAAAAUGAUAUCUGUAAAUAACUCGGGAUUUUGAUUUGUAAAGGAUCUUUAUAGUUUUGAAAAUCCAUUUUUAUGUUAUAGAACUUUGUAACGUUCAAAUGAUUAAAUUACGAGUAUACAAAACAUCUCAACUAAUUAAUAUUACGUUAGCAAAUACGUUAAACGAGAGAUUUACCAAAGUUAUAUGGAAAGUUAAAAAUAUGUGUUAUUAAUUCAUCGAAUGUUAGCAAAAAAUCAUGGCAUUUACAUAGGUGUAAGGUUACUUACGAUCUAUGCAUGACUUUUCAAAAUGAUUUAUACCUAAUGAAAUUAUCAAGAUUUUACUAAAUUAAACAUAAUGAAACUAGCAGAAAGCUGCACAAUAUUAUAAGCGUGAAACUUAUUAGAAAAUACGAACUGAACAUGAAGGGACAGAACAUGUUAACAGCAUGCUUUAUCGUUGCUGUUUUCAUCGACGAAUACGGACACAACCGGACUUAACUUGAACCGGAAAUGAUAGUGCGACGUGCUAAAGAUACGGGAAACCACAUACAGAUAGAUUUGUUGUGCUUGGAAAUUCAAUGAACGAUAUGUUCGAACCACUACAAGUAGGUACCGUUCUAUCUUCAACUAGCAAAGAAAAUCAAUCAACUAUCGACUCGAAUGCUAUAUUAUUGCAAUAAAUCAUGAACAACCAUUAGAAUAAAAUGGUUUGUUCAUCGUAAGUUAUUCAAAAAAUAAGUUUUACUACUGUCGAAAAUGAAUGAUAUUAUUUUCUUAGGACAAAGUACACUACAAUAAUUCUUCCUGUUUACAAGAAAUAUAAUAUUGUAGAAAAUAAGAUAGCUAUAUUUCCGAGGAUAAUAUACAAAAUGAGGAAAAUUGUGGAUGAAAAAUGAAAUUCUAUCUGCUUUAUAUUUCAUACGAUAAUAUGAUGAGAGAUUACGUAGAUGGAGUUGCUUUUAUUCAGAUUAAAAACACGACGAGUACUUUGACAAAACGCAGAAUCUAAUUUUCUGUUUAUAUAGCAUAAAGUAUACUUUAUUACGGUAGAAAAACGCAAAGUAAUGGGACGAGCAGCGUAAAAAGUGUACGAGAAUGCAAUUUAUUUUUAUGGGAAUUCAACGUAGGUAGAAAAGAGUCAAUUAGAACAAGGUGAAGUACCUUGAACCUCUCUCAAAGUUUCAGCUGCUUUACGGUCAGUAAUCGAUAGCAAUAAAUAGCCAAUUAAUCUUAUCGAUGGUUUGGUUUCUUAUCGGAAAUUUCUUUGCUGCAAUUGUUUGCAUGUUUCAAAGGAUCGUAACCCUUGAAACUUUAUAUGAAAAAAUUUUUGAAAAGUUCAUUUAUAUUCUAAGGUAUUUUCUGUAACUAUCAGGUGCACCAAUUAAUUCGAUGCCUUUUCUUUCUUUUCAAUUGAAGAUUUAUUUUUAAAACGUUAUCAUUUUAAUUCUAGCGCUAACUUUCGAGUCCACAGAAGCGCGGGAAAAUAUUCAAAUUUAAAAUCAUGAUUAAGAAGACGUAUUGCUGACGACACCAAAUUAAUUGCUACACCUAAUGUUUGUAUAAUAACCUUACGAUAGACGUUAUCACAGAAAUGCGGUCACGAUACUAAGGUGAACAAUGUUUCUAUCGUUUAUACGAAAUGCUCUAUCAGUGUCAAUAAGAGAAUACACGGUAUAUCUACUCUUUAUCUGUUUAUCGUUAGAUAUACAAACCCAAGAAGUCGUUUCCACGGUUCGAAUGAAGAUGUAUGACUUAAAUAUACGUCAGCAACUUUUCAGGUGAAAGAACUUUCCUCGCGAUUAAAAUGGUGGUUACAUUAAACCACAUUGGUCCCACUCGGAAUUUUCCUUUUAAUAUUCUAAAGGCAACGUGGAAUUUUCAAGUACUUCCUGAAGUUUUUAUACUCUCUUACAUCGGUGCAAUCAGUGAAGAAGCUGUUUUGCGAGCACGCCCGUGACAAAGUUCUCUGAAUGGUGUAUCGAUUUUGAAGUAAAGUCAACCCGGCGCCAUCCAACCGUGGUCAUAAAUCUCAAGCUGAAAUUUAAUGAAAUAGUUUCCCUCUCACUGUGAAAGAAAAAAAUUGUCCGCGUUUUAAUAACAAGAAGAUCGUUUCGUCUUUUCCUCGGCAAACCGCUCCGCGGCGCGGCGUCGCGUCGCGCCGUUUCAAUUGAAUCACCGUAAAGCAGGAUACAACAGAACAAACAGCAAGGUGACAAAUGAAAUUAAUUAACUUCGAGCGACGAGAUCGUGGGAAAGGAUAUUUUAUUCAAAACUGGGUGCACAAGCAUUGCUGCACGGACGAAAGCGAAGAAGAAAAGAAAGGUAAAAGAAGGAUAUUAUCGGAAAAGCAAUUUACGCAGCGUUAGCUUUCUGAAUAACAAAGUAAGGGGGAAGAGAUGUUGAACAAAAGGACCCAGGAAUACACCGGGGAAUCCAAUGAAGAAAGUAACUAUUUUACGAGGUCAGUGGAUGGUAUUUUCACUGAUAUUUCUGUAAAGGGGAGCGAUUCCUUUAUCUACCUCGAACUUGCAGAAGCGUCAGCACACGGAGAAUAGGUCAGUCGAAGUUCCUGACAUUUUCUCCUGGUAAACUGAAUUGGGUCGUCUCGUAAAUCUUGAGAAAUACAGGUCAAAGUAAAGUCUUAAGGCAUUAGCUAGGAAAAAGGGGUACAAGCUGCGUCGUCGAAGCACCGCCAAGACAAUUAACAGGAUCAUUGUUAAUCAUCUAGAGAACUAUAUAUAUAUAUAAAAGUCUUUAUCUACCCACUUGAAGAAACAUAAAUUUUCUCACAAGAAAAAAGAAAAAAA
Molecule: non-coding RNA, 7165 nt
Organism: Osmia lignaria (orchard mason bee)
Lineage: Eukaryota; Metazoa; Arthropoda; Insecta; Hymenoptera; Megachilidae
Source: RefSeq, a predicted model, not a curated record